This 263-nucleotide ribosomal RNA is filed under the name uncultured prokaryote. RNAcentral describes it as "partial 16S ribosomal RNA". It matches the Rfam family "Bacterial small subunit ribosomal RNA", at positions 917 to 1178 of the family's 1533-position model. The record is from RNAcentral.
GGACCCGCACAAGCAGCGGAGCAUGUGGUUUAAUUCGAAGCAACGCGAAGAACCUUACCAAGUCUUGACAUAUUAUUGACCGGUAUAGAGAUAUGCCUUUACCUUCGGGUACAGUAAUACAGGUGGUGCAUGGUUGUCGUCAGCUCGUGUCGUGAGAUGUUGGGUUAAGUCCCGCAACGAGCGCAACCCUUACCUUUAGUUGCCAGCGCGUAAAGGCGGGAACUCUAGAGGGACUGCCGAUGAUAAAUCGGAGGAAGGUGGGG